UACGGGGGGGGGCAAGCGUUGUUCGGAAUUACUGGGCGUAAAGGGCGCGUAGGCGGUCCGCUAAGUUAGAUGUGAAAACUCUGGGCUCAACCCAGAGCCUGCAUCUAAUACUGACGGGCUAGAGUUCUGGAGGGGGUAGCGGAAUUCCUGGUGUGGCGGUGAAAUGCGUAGAUAUCAGGAGGAACACCGGUGGCGAAGGCGGCCAUCUGGGACAACACUGACGCUGAAGCACGAAAGCGUGGGGAGCAAACAGG
Molecule: ribosomal RNA, 254 nt
Filed under: uncultured bacterium
Lineage: Bacteria
Description: partial 16S ribosomal RNA
Rfam family: Bacterial small subunit ribosomal RNA
Source: RNAcentral